Molecule: ribosomal RNA, 448 nt
Rfam family: Bacterial large subunit ribosomal RNA
CGUUUAUAGAUAUUAUUAUAAAUCUAAUCUGCUCAAUGAACAAUUAAAUAGCCGCAGUUCUCUGUGCUAAGGUAGCAUAAUCAUUUGUCCCUUAAUUAGAGACUAGUAUGAAAGAUCCAACAUUAAGCUCCUGUUUCAAUUUAACAACCCCAAUCUAUUUUAAAUAUUAAAAAAUAUUUAUUUAAAAAAAAGACGACAAGACCCUAUCAAACUUCACUAAAGUUUAGCUGGGGCAGCUAUUUAAAAAAAGUUUCCAAUUUUACUACUUUCAAAAUCAAUGACCUGUUAAAAACAAUAAAUAGAUCAAGUUACUGUAGGGAUAACAGCGCAAUAACUUUCCAAAGCUCUUAUCCAAAAAUAAGAUUGCGACCUCGAUGUUGAAUUAAUAUUACCUAUAAGGUGCAACCACUCUAUAAACGUAGGUCUGUUCGACCUUUAAAAAAUUACG